RNAcentral lists this non-coding RNA (85 nucleotides) under Stenotrophomonas acidaminiphila. Lineage: Bacteria; Pseudomonadati; Pseudomonadota; Gammaproteobacteria; Lysobacterales; Lysobacteraceae. The record is from RNAcentral.
UUCGACGGCGGGCGGUGUGCGGAGGCCGAAAGGCCUGCCGGUUCCUUGUGGCCGGUCUGUCAACCGCGCACCGUCCGCCACCCUC